RNAcentral lists this long non-coding RNA (343 nucleotides) under Nicotiana benthamiana. RNAcentral describes it as "long non-coding RNA (NBEN_LNC022186)". The record is from RNAcentral. Lineage: Eukaryota; Viridiplantae; Streptophyta; Magnoliopsida; Solanales; Solanaceae.
GAAGUCAAGGAGGAAAGUUCCAUCGUGUCCUUCAAAGAUCGAUCUGAUAAUUGCGUAUAUAAGGUUUUACCUAACUAGCCCUAAAGGUAAUUUAAAAUCCUCAAGCUCUUCUAGAUACGUUUUCUCGGGAGUUUUGCUUUCAUUAGAGUGGUAUCAGAGCUCUAUCAUGAAGAUUACAUAUAGAAUAGUUCCUCUUACGAUUAUUCGUAAUUAUUUAUUUAAUAGUAGAUGGAAUUUACCCUGAUGAAAUCCCUUGUGGGCUUACGAAAAGAAAAAUAUCCUUAAAGAAAGCAUUACACAUGAAGAAAAGUAGGCUUGCUUCUUUCAAGGCCACUCUACUGAA